UACGAAGGUGGCAAGCGUUGUUCGGAUUUACUGGGCGUACAGGGAGCGUAGGCGGUUGGGUAAGCCCUCCGUGAAAUCUCCGGGCCUAACCCGGAAAGUGCGGAGGGGACUGCUCGGCUAGAGGAUGGGAGAGGAGCGCGGAAUUCCCGGUGUAGCGGUGAAAUGCGUAGAGAUCGGGAGGAAGGCCGGUGGCGAAGGCGGCGCUCUGGAACAUUUCUGACGCUGAGGCUCGAAAGCGUGGGGAGCGAACAGG
RNAcentral lists this ribosomal RNA (253 nucleotides) under uncultured bacterium. Its description in RNAcentral is "partial 16S ribosomal RNA". It matches the Rfam family "Bacterial small subunit ribosomal RNA", at positions 524 to 776 of the family's 1533-position model. The record is from RNAcentral.